Molecule: ribosomal RNA, 277 nt
Filed under: uncultured bacterium
Lineage: Bacteria
Description: partial 16S ribosomal RNA
Rfam family: Bacterial small subunit ribosomal RNA
Source: RNAcentral
GACGAACGCUGGCGGCGUGCCUAAGACAUGCAAGUCGAGCGGGGCCCGCAAGGGUCCAGCGGCGAACGGGUGAGUAACACGUGGGUAACCUGCCCGGCUCAGGGGGAUAACAGCUCGAAAGGGCUGCUAAUACCGCAUAUGCUCACGGUCCCGCAUGGGGCAGGGAGGAAAGGCGGCGCGAGCUGCCGGAGCCGGAGGGGCCCGCGGCCGAUUAGCUAGUUGGUGGGGUAACGGCCCACCAAGGCGACGAUCGGUAGCCGGCCUGAGAGGGUGUUCG